GACGAACGCUGGCGGCGUGCCUAAUACAUGCAAGUCGAGCGAAUCUUGAGGUGCUUGCACCUCUUGGUUAGCGGCGGACGGGUGAGUAACACGUGGGCAACCUGCCUGUAAGACUGGGAUAACUUCGGGAAACCGGAGCUAAUACCGGAUAAUCCUUUUCCUUUCAUGAGGAAAAGCUGAAAGUCGGUUUACGCUGACACUUACAGAUGGGCCCGCGGCGCAUUAGCUAGUUGGUGAGGUAACGGCUCACCAAGGCGACGAUGCGUAGCCGACCUGAGAGGGUGAUCGGCCACACUGGGACUGAGACACGGCCCAGACUCCUACGGGAGGCAGCAGUAGGGAAUCUUCCGCAAUGGACGAAAGUCUGACGGAGCAACGCCGCGUGAGCGAUGAAGGCCUUCGGGUCGUAAAGCUCUGUUGUUAGGGAAGAACAAGUAUCGGAGUAACUGCCGG
This 453-nucleotide ribosomal RNA is filed under the name Neobacillus niacini. RNAcentral's name for it is "bacterial SSU rRNA". It matches the Rfam family "Bacterial small subunit ribosomal RNA", at positions 28 to 475 of the family's 1533-position model. Lineage: Bacteria; Bacillati; Bacillota; Bacilli; Caryophanales; Bacillaceae. The record is from RNAcentral.